Molecule: ribosomal RNA, 501 nt
Filed under: uncultured bacterium
Lineage: Bacteria
Description: bacterial SSU rRNA
Rfam family: Bacterial small subunit ribosomal RNA
Source: RNAcentral
AGAGUUUGAUCCUGGCUCAGGACGAACGCUGGCGGCGUGCCUAACACAUGCAAGUCGAACGAUAACCCGGAGCUUGCUCCGGGGGACAGUGGCGAACGGGUGAGUAACACGUGAGAAACCUGCCCUAGAGACCGGGACAACCAUUGGAAACGAUGGCUAAUACCGGAUGCCCUCACAUGACCGCAUGGUCGAGUGAGGAAAUGCUCAGGUGCUCUAGGAGGGUCUCGCGGCCUAUCAGCUAGUUGGUGAAGUAAUGGCUCACCAAGGCAUCGACGGGUAGCUGGUCUGAGAGGACGAUCAGCCACACUGGGACUGAGACACGGCCCAGACUCCUACGGGAGGCAGCAGUGGGGAAUAUUGCGCAAUGGGCGAAAGCCCGACGCAGCAACGCCGCGUGUGGGAUGACAGCUUUCGGGUUGCAAACCACUUUCAGUGACGACGAAAAUGACGGUAGUCACAGAAGAAGGUCCGGCCAACUACGUGCCAGCAGCCGCGGUAAUA